AGGCCUACGGGGGGCAGCAGUAGGGAAUCUUCCACAAUGGACGAAAGUCUGAUGGAGCAACGCCGCGUGAGUGAAGAAGGGUUUCGGCUCGUAAAGCUCUGUUGGUAGUGGAGAAAGAUAGAGGUAGUAACUGGCCUUUAUUUGACGGUAAUUACUUAGAAAGUCACGGCUAACUACGUGCCAGCAGCCGCGGUAAUACGUAGGUGGCAAGCGUUGUCCGGGUUUAUUGGGCGUAAAGCGAGUGGAGGCGGGUUUAUUAGUCUUGUGUGAAA
Molecule: ribosomal RNA, 272 nt
Filed under: uncultured bacterium
Lineage: Bacteria
Description: partial 16S ribosomal RNA
Rfam family: Bacterial small subunit ribosomal RNA
Source: RNAcentral